GACGAACGCUGGCGGCGCGCUUAACACAUGCCAGUCGAACGGAAAGGCCUGCUUUCCCUUGUGGAUUGCGGGUACUCGAGUGGCGAACGGGUGAGUAACACGUGAGUGAUCUGCCCCCAACUUGGGUAUAAGCCUGGGAAACUGGGUCUAAUUCCCGAUAGGACUGCAGUGUGGUGCCUGUGGUGGUAAACGGUUUUCUAGUGGUUGGGGAUGAGCUCGCGGCCUAUCAGCUUGUGGGUGGGGUAAUGGCCUACCAAGGCGGCGACGGGGAGCCGGCCAGGGAGGGGGGAAGUCAACAUUGGGACCAGGAUACGGCCCGGACUCCUACGGAGGGCAGCAGGGGGGAACAUUGGACAUUGGGCGGAAGCGUAAUGCAGCAACGCCGCGUGGGGGAUGACGGCUUUCGGGUUGUAAACUCCUUUCGACCGCAAGGAAGCCACGUGGAUGGAAGGGUGGUGACGGUAGUGGUAGAAGAAGCACCGGCUAACUACGUG
Molecule: ribosomal RNA, 494 nt
Filed under: uncultured bacterium
Lineage: Bacteria
Description: partial 16S ribosomal RNA
Rfam family: Bacterial small subunit ribosomal RNA
Source: RNAcentral